UUUAAAGAAAGCGUAAUAGCUCACUGGUCGAGUCGGCCUGCGCGGAAGAUGUAACGGGGCUAAACCAUGCACCGAAGCUGCGGCAGCGACACUUAGGUGUUGUUGGGUAGGGGAGCGUUCUGUAAGCCGUUGAAGGUGACCUGUGAGGGUUGCUGGAGGUAUCAGAAGUGCGAAUGCUGACAUAAGUAACGAUAAUGCGGGUGAAAAACCCGCACGCCGGAAGACCAAGGGUUCCUGUCCAACGUUAAUCGGGGCAGGGUGAGUCGACCCCUAAGGCGAGGCUGAAAAGCGUAGUCGAUGGGAAACAGGUUAAUAUUCCUGUACUUGGUGUUACUGCGAAGGGGGGACGGAGAAGGCUAGGCUGGCCGGGCGACGGUUGUCCCGGUUUAAGCGUGUAGGGGGAGUGACCAGGUAAAUCCGGUUGCUUAUCAACCCUGAGGCGUGAUGACGAUGCACCACGGUGCAGAAGCAGUUGAUGCCAUGCUUCCAGGAAAAGCCUCUAAGCAUCAGGUAACAUUAAAUCGUACCCCAAACCGACACAGGUGGUCAGGUAGAGAAUACUCAGGCGCUUGAGAGAACUCGGGUGAAGGAACUAGGCAAAAUGGUGCCGUAACUUCGGGAGAAGGCACGCUGGCGUUAGGUGAAAGGACUAGCUCCUGGAGCUGAAGCCAGUCGCAGAUACCAGCUGGCUGCAACUGUUUAAUAAAAACACAGCACUGUGCAAACACGAAAGUGGACGUAUACGGUGUGACGCCUGCCCGGUGCUGGAAGGUUAAUUGAUGGGGUCAGCCGCAAGGCGAAGCUCUUGAUCGAAGCCCCAGUAAACGGCGGCCGUAACUAUAACGGUCCUAAGGUAGCGAAAUUCCUUGUCGGGUAAGUUCCGACCUGCACGAAUGGCGUAAUGAUGGCCAGGCUGUCUCCACCCGAGACUCAGUGAAAUUGAACUCGCUGUGAAGAUGCAGUGUACCCGCGGCAAGACGGAAAGACCCCGUGAACCUUUACUAUAGCUUGACACUGAACAUUGAGCCUUGAUGUGUAGGAUAGGUGGGAGGCCUUGAAGUGUGGACGCCAGUCUGCAUGGAGCCAACCUUGAAAUACCACCCUUUAAUGUUUGAUGUUCUAACUCGGCCCCAUGAUCUGGGGUGAGGACAGUGUCUGGUGGGUAGUUUGACUGGGGCGGUCUCCUCCCAAAGAGUAACGGAGGAGCACGAAGGUUAGCUAAUCACGGUCGGACAUCGUGAGGUUAGUGCAAAGGCAUAAGCUAGCUUGACUGCGAGAGUGACGGCUCGAGCAGGUACGAAAGUAGGUCUUAGUGAUCCGGUGGUUCUGAAUGGAAGGGCCAUCGCUCAACGGAUAAAAGGUACUCCGGGGAUAACAGGCUGAUACCGCCCAAGAGUUCAUAUCGACGGCGGUGUUUGGCACCUCGAUGUCGGCUCAUCACAUCCUGGGGCUGAAGUAGGUCCCAAGGGUAUGGCUGUUCGCCAUUUAAAGUGGUACGCGAGCUGGGUUUAGAACGUCGUGAGACAGUUCGGUCCCUAUCUGCCGUGGGCGUUGGAAGAUUGAGAGGGGCUGCUCCUAGUACGAGAGGACCGGAGUGGACGAAUCACUGGUGUUCGGGUUGUCAUGCCAAUGGCAUUGCCCGGUAGCUAAAUUCGGAAGAGAUAACCGCUGAAAGCAUCUAAGCGGGAAACUUGCCUCGAGAUGAGUCUUCCCUGGGGCUUAAAGCCCCCUGAAGGAACGUUAAAGACUAUGACGUUGAUAGGCUGGGUGUGUAAGUGCAGCGAUGUAUUGAGCUAACCAGUACUAAUGAUCCGUGAGGCUUAACCUUACAACACCGAAGGUGUUU
Molecule: ribosomal RNA, 1846 nt
Filed under: Yersinia pestis
Lineage: Bacteria; Pseudomonadati; Pseudomonadota; Gammaproteobacteria; Enterobacterales; Yersiniaceae
Description: bacterial LSU rRNA
Rfam family: Bacterial large subunit ribosomal RNA
Source: RNAcentral